GCCAGGCAUGGUGGCGGGUGCCUGUAAUCCCAGCUACUCGGAGGCUGAGGCAGAGAAUUGCUUGAACCCAGGAGGCGGAGGUUGCAGUGAGCCGAGAUUGUGCCACUGCACUCUAGCCUGGGUGACAGAGUGAGACUCUGUCUCAA
This 146-nucleotide non-coding RNA is filed under the name Chlorocebus sabaeus (green monkey). The record is from Rfam by way of RNAcentral. Lineage: Eukaryota; Metazoa; Chordata; Mammalia; Primates; Cercopithecidae.